Molecule: non-coding RNA, 45 nt
Organism: Schistosoma curassoni
Lineage: Eukaryota; Metazoa; Platyhelminthes; Trematoda; Strigeidida; Schistosomatidae
Source: Rfam
AUCCAGCUGACGAGUCCCAAAUGGGACGAAACACGCGUUCUUUAU